Molecule: non-coding RNA, 102 nt
Filed under: Ctenophora environmental sample
Lineage: Eukaryota; Metazoa; Ctenophora
Source: RNAcentral
ACAAAACUAGCGGUUGCAACUUCCCAGAACUUUGGAAUCAUCGGGAGUGGCAAACUUUUUGUACUUAACAACCAGCACGGAGCUUUGUCCGAGUGUGAAGGC